This 340-nucleotide long non-coding RNA is filed under the name Parus major (Great Tit). RNAcentral's name for it is "lncRNA (ENSPMJG00000013860.1)". Lineage: Eukaryota; Metazoa; Chordata; Aves; Passeriformes; Paridae. The record is from RNAcentral.
CCGAGACUGCAGCGCCGCCGCCGCUCGGGCCUGAGCCACAGGCCCCGCUUUCCGUCGAGCCCUACUUGGCCUGCUUUUGUUUCUUUCCAGGCAUGCAAAUCUUCACAGAGGCAGUGCAGAACUUCUUCAGUUUUAAGAGCUAUUCUGUUAAAAUUGAACAGUGCCACUCAGUUCCCUUGUAGCCUUUCCAGUCAUCUCUACAACCAGGUAUGGGACCCACCUGGGAAGACACACAUUCAUUUGUCUUGUUCCUCCCUCUGUGGAAAAGACUGAGCUAAAUAUAGACUUUUCCAUCUACAACUCAACAUUGCUAUUAUGUAUGACAAUUUUUGUCCAGGAG